GGUUAGUGCAAUGGCAUAAGCCAGCUUGACUGCGAGCGUGACGGCGCGAGCAGGUGCGAAAGCAGGUCAUAGUGAUCCGGUGGUUCUGAAUGGAAGGGCCAUCGCUCAACGGAUAAAAGGUACUCCGGGGAUAACAGGCUGAUACCGCCCAAGAGUUCAUAUCGACGGCGGUGUUUGGCACCUCGAUGUCGGCUCAUCACAUCCUGGGGCUGAAGUAGGUCCCAAGGGUAUGGCUGUUCGCCAUUUAAAGUGGUACGCGAGCUGGGUUUAGAACGUCGUGAGACAGUUCGGUCCCUAUCUGCCGUGGGCGCUGGAGAACUGAGGGGGGCUGCUCCUAGUACGAGAGGACCGGAGUGGACGCAUCACUGGUGUUCGGGUUGUCAUGCCAAUGGCACUGCCCGGUAGCUAAAUGCGGAAGAGAUAAGUGCUGAAAGCAUCUAAGCACGAAACUUGCC
RNAcentral lists this ribosomal RNA (455 nucleotides) under Escherichia coli. RNAcentral's name for it is "partial 23S ribosomal RNA". It matches the Rfam family "Bacterial large subunit ribosomal RNA", at positions 2344 to 2798 of the family's 2925-position model. The record is from RNAcentral. Lineage: Bacteria; Pseudomonadati; Pseudomonadota; Gammaproteobacteria; Enterobacterales; Enterobacteriaceae.